AUGCACGCUGGCGGCGUGCCUAAUCCAUGCAAGUCGCGCGAACAGACGAGGAGCUUGCUCCUCUGACGUUAGCGGCGGACGGGUGAGUAACACGUGGAUAACCUACCUAUAAGACUGGGAUAACUUCGGGAAACCGGAGCUAAUACCGGAUAAUAUAUUGAACCGCAUGGUUCAAUAGUGAAAGACGGUUUUGCUGUCACUUAUAGAUGGAUCCGCGCCGCAUUAGCUAGUUGGUAAGGUAACGGCUUACCAAGGCAACGAUGCGUAGCCGACCUGAGAGGGUGAUCGGCCACACUGGAACUGAGACACGGUCCAGACUCCUACGGGAGGCAGCAGUAGGGAAUCUUCCGCAAUGGGCGAAAGCUUGACGGAGCAACGCCGCGUGAGUGAUGAAGGUCUUCGGAUCGUAAAACUCUGUUAUUAGGGAAGAACAAAUGUGUAAGUAACUAUGCACGUCUUGACGGUACCUAAUCAGAAAGCCACGGCUAACUACGUG
Molecule: ribosomal RNA, 496 nt
Filed under: uncultured bacterium
Lineage: Bacteria
Description: partial 16S ribosomal RNA
Rfam family: Bacterial small subunit ribosomal RNA
Source: RNAcentral